This 23-nucleotide microRNA is filed under the name Monodelphis domestica (gray short-tailed opossum). RNAcentral describes it as "mdo-miR-7286b-3p". The record is from miRBase by way of RNAcentral. Lineage: Eukaryota; Metazoa; Chordata; Mammalia; Didelphimorphia; Didelphidae.
UUAGAAUGUGAACUCCUUAAGAG